This 375-nucleotide RNase P RNA is filed under the name Bifidobacteriaceae bacterium. Its description in RNAcentral is "RNase P RNA component class A". It matches the Rfam family "Bacterial RNase P class A". From Rfam's summary of the family: Ribonuclease P (RNase P) is a ubiquitous endoribonuclease, found in archaea, bacteria and eukarya as well as chloroplasts and mitochondria. Lineage: Bacteria; Bacillati; Actinomycetota; Actinomycetes; Bifidobacteriales; Bifidobacteriaceae. The record is from RNAcentral.
UGAGUUGGCUGGGCGGUCGCGGCGGGGUUAUCCCGGCGAGGAACGUCCGGACUCCAUAGAGCAGGGCGGUGGGUAACGCCCACCCGGGGUGACCCGCGGGAUAGUGCCACAGAGAACAGACCGCCGCCCCGCGAGGGACGGUAAGGGUGAAACGGUGGUGUAAGAGACCACCGGCGCCUCCGGUGACGGGGGCGGCCAGGUAAACCCCGCCCGGUGCAAGGCCAGACAGGAAGCGUCUGAGGGCUGCUCGCCCGAGCUUCCGGGUAGGCCGCUGGAGGCGUACGGCAACGUGCGUCCUAGAUGGAUGGCCGCCGCCGCGCCAGCGCGGGCAACCGCGGCGCGGCACAGAAUCCGGCGUACAGGCCAACUCAUCCG